Molecule: long non-coding RNA, 1906 nt
Filed under: Canis lupus familiaris (dog)
Lineage: Eukaryota; Metazoa; Chordata; Mammalia; Carnivora; Canidae
Description: lncRNA (ENSCAFG00040002130.1)
Source: RNAcentral
GUCGCUAUCUGCAUGCAUCCUGGUACCACUGAGCCCUGGACAGAGGACUGUUAGCAUCUCACUGGGAGCCACUGCUGUGCAAAGCAGGUACAUCAAGGCUUAAUAAAAAACUCUUUUACAUGUAAGCAAUAAUCGACCCUCCUGAACUCCAAAGAUCGGCUUGAAUUGGUGCAAAAGCCAUAAUCAUUAGUCACAAGACAAAUUAAUUAGCAGUGUCCCUUUAGCUGCAUGAUAAACUCACUUGUUUGGAGACUAAGUUCUUCUUAAUUUAGAACCUGCUCAACCCCCAGAAGUGUGAGAGCGUGUCCAGGAACAAUCCCUCCUGGCUCCCUGAUCCAGGGCUCUGCGUGCUUGUGAGAAACCUGAAGAUCAAGGCGACCUUAUAGGGAUCUGGGUUGGGAGCCUCAGAGACGAUGUUGGAAUGGGGUUUUUUUUUGUUGUUUUUUUUUUGGGGGGGGGGUGUUUGUUUUUUAAUGUGAGAUAUAGUUGACACACAAUGUUAUAUUCACUUCAGGUACACAACAUAGCGAUUCGAUGACUAUCUACAUUAUGAAAUGCUCCCCACAAGAGGUGUAGUUACCAUCUGUCACCACACAAAUUUAUGACCAUGUUGGAAUCAUCGUAACCACACUUGUGUUCAUUGUUUAUCACCCCCGACUAAACAAAUUACCAUGUUCCUGCAUGUUAUUUCGCCGUGAGCAGGAGGUAAACCUCUGCUGAUACCGAGCAUAGAUAGUUCAAGAUGUCUGAGCCCACCGCUAAUGGGCCUCUGGUUUCCUGUAGCCUUUGUAGCCCAGAAAGUUUGGGAGGACUACAUAGACCUCAAGACCUGGGGUUGACUGGGUCUCCUAAAUCUGAGGAUUAUAACUUCAUGCUCCUUACAUCCAGCACUCAUCACCUACCGUCGUGUCAUUUUGUUGGGGACACUGCCCACCAUUUGACCUCUGUCAGUUCCCUGGAAUCAUGAGUAAAUGUGUGACUCCAACACAGGCAAUGGCAUUUGAUUUGGCUAAAAAGGCACAAGUGGGGAGAACCAUGACAUCAGUCCCUCCUGAAGCCAACUGUCCCCGGUUACAUGAGGAACUCAAUUGAAUGGACUUAACUUCCCAGGCAAGUCACCUGGGUUUCCAUACAAGUUACUGUCUGGAGAACAUUUGUCAAAACAGUUCAAAUGUCUCAAAAUGUCUCAGCUGCACGGCCACCCCAUGGACCUCAACAGCCAUCGAUGCCAUGGUCUUCCUGCACUUCCAGUGCUCCUGACCCCAAGACAGGCUCUGCCCCACUUGGUGGUGGAGAUACUGGGGCUGGCAUGUCAGAGCCAUUAGCACAAACAAGAUCCCUGGACAUGUGUCCUGUUCUCCUCAAACACUGAGGACCAUGGACAUGUCCAUCUGAAUAACAAGUCUAUUAUUUCCUUCCUCAGGCCUUCCUCAAUUCCCAAGUCAUCUGUUCCAAAAAAAUAUAAUUGAAGAGAGAUCAGGAAUCAAUGUUAUUCUACUGUGUUUUAAGUGUGAAAACAGAAGUGUAAUAUUAUGUCUUGUUUCUAAACCAAGCAUAGGGGUGUAACUUGGCAAAAAAAAAGAAUAAAAUUCCAUGGGUGGGCUGGAGAAAUACAAAAAAAAAAAAGUGAAAUAAGAUGAGCUACAUAUGGCUGUGAUGUAGUUGGUGCCAAUAAGUGAUUCAUCCCAGUGUGUGCGCUUAUGCGCUGAGCGCUGCUCUUUGCAGGCUGCUUAAUGAAUGUGUGCACCCCCAGCUAUGCAAGUCUGCAGCCCCAAUAAAGAGGCCACAGCAGGAAGAUCCUUGGACUAAGGCUCUGGUUUGCACUUACUCUAAAAAAAUUAUUUGAUGAGGCACGUUAAUCUCUCUGCGUAGCUUAUAAUUAGAACUGCACUUACAUUUCCACCUG